RNAcentral lists this ribosomal RNA (429 nucleotides) under Chloroflexota bacterium. RNAcentral's name for it is "Chloroflexi bacterium partial 16S ribosomal RNA". It matches the Rfam family "Bacterial small subunit ribosomal RNA", at positions 355 to 776 of the family's 1533-position model. Lineage: Bacteria; Bacillati; Chloroflexota. The record is from RNAcentral.
UGGGGAAUAUUGCACAAUGGGCGCAAGCCUGAUGCAGCCAUGCCGCGUGUAUGAAGAAGGCCUUCGGGUUGUAAAGUACUUUCAGCGGGGAGGAAGGGAGUAAAGUUAAUACCUUUGCUCAUUGACGUUACCCGCAGAAGAAGCACCGGCUAACUCCGUGCCAGCAGCCGCGGUAAUACGGAGGGUGCAAGCGUUAAUCGGAAUUACUGGGCGUAAAGCGCACGCAGGCGGUUUGUUAAGUCAGAUGUGAAAUCCCCGGGCUCAACCUGGGAACUGCAUAUGAUACUGGCAAGCUUGAGUCUCGUAGAGGGGGGUAGAAUUCCAGGUGUAGCGGUGAAAUGCGUAGAGAUCUGGAGGAAUACCGGUGGCGAAGGCGGCCCCCUGGACGAAGACUGACGCUCAGGUGCGAAAGCGUGGGGAGCAAACAGG